UACGGAGGGGGCUAGCGUUGUUCGGAAUUACUGGGCGUAAAGCGCGCGUAGGCGGACCUGCAAGUCGGGGGGUGAAAGCCCGAGGCUCAACCUCGGAACUGCCUUCGAUACUGCGGGUCUCGAGUCCGGGAGAGGUGAGUGGAAUUCCUAGUGUAGAGGUGAAAUUCGUAGAUAUUAGGAAGAACACCAGUGGCGAAGGCGGCUCACUGGCCCGGUACUGACGCUGAUGAGCGAAAGCUAGGGGAGCAAACGGG
RNAcentral lists this ribosomal RNA (254 nucleotides) under uncultured bacterium. RNAcentral describes it as "partial 16S ribosomal RNA". It matches the Rfam family "Bacterial small subunit ribosomal RNA", at positions 524 to 776 of the family's 1533-position model. The record is from RNAcentral.